This 377-nucleotide ribosomal RNA is filed under the name uncultured bacterium. Its description in RNAcentral is "bacterial SSU rRNA". It matches the Rfam family "Bacterial small subunit ribosomal RNA", at positions 495 to 872 of the family's 1533-position model. The record is from RNAcentral.
GACUGACUGAGUGCCAGCCGCCGCGGUAAUACGUAGGUGGCAAGCGUUGUCCGGAAUUAUUGGGCGUAAAGAGCAUGUACGCGGCCUAUUAAGUCGGGCGUGAAAAUGCGGGGCUCAACCCCGUAUGGCGCCCGAUACUGGUUGGCUUGAGUGCAGGAGAGGAAAGGGGAAUUCCCAGUGUAGCGGUGAAAUGCGUAGAUAUUGGGAGGAACACCAGUGGCGAAGGCGCCUUUCUGGACUGUGUCUGACGCUGAGAUGCGAAAGCCAGGGGAGCGAACGGGAUUAGAUACCCCGGUAGUCCUGGCCGUAAACGAUGGAUACUAGGUGUGGGAGGUAUCGACCCUUCCGUGCCGGAGUUAACGCAAUAAGUAUCCCGC